Molecule: long non-coding RNA, 250 nt
Filed under: Cyanistes caeruleus (blue tit)
Lineage: Eukaryota; Metazoa; Chordata; Aves; Passeriformes; Paridae
Description: lncRNA (ENSCCEG00000023744.1)
Source: RNAcentral
GUUUUUUCAUUUUAUGGAUUUUAUUCUGCCUGGAGGCUAUACAGUCUGUUAUGCUACCCAUCAGCCUUGGCUAGAGAGUCCAGCUUGGAAAACACUGUUCUUUUCCUGCCAACUUGUUCAAGCCUACAGUCACCCAGCCUACAACAGCUUGUCAGCUCGACUGAAAAGAGCCAAGAUGAAGAAUAGCAGGAACAUGAGAGGCUCUCCUGGGAAUGCAUCGAAGGAGCGCUGGUGGAGGCUCUCUAGUUAA